Molecule: ribosomal RNA, 1055 nt
Filed under: Amynthas sp. GZ201101-02
Lineage: Eukaryota; Metazoa; Annelida; Clitellata; Crassiclitellata; Megascolecidae
Description: partial 12S ribosomal RNA
Source: RNAcentral
ACUCGAUAUCCACGUAUAUACAACCUUCUCUUGAUACUCAGCAUGUGUACUGCCGUUGUAAGCAUACCUCUAAAAGAACAAGUAUGCCGCUAUGACAAAUAAGCUCAUAUACAUCAGGUCAAAGUGCAGCCAAUAAGAAGGUGAUGAUGGGUUACAACCCCAAAAUAGACUAUCAACUAAGAAAUUAAAAAUCUUACGAAAGUGGACUUGGCCGUAAUCUAUUUACAAGUUAAAAAAAUGAAUGUACACCUAAGACAUGCACACAUCGCCCGUCACUCUAUCCUAAAGGUUAGAUAAGUCGUAACAAAGUAGGUGUAAUGGAAAUUGCACCUGUCGGGGUAUAGCAUAUAUAAUGCUUUUUACUUACACUAAAAAUAAAGUUAAAUUUACUUGCCUCGCCCAAAUAAAAUAAUCCUUUAAAGCAUUAAUAAUCCAAACAAUUAAAAUAAACAAAACACAAAGUACAGAAAUGGAAAAAAUAACAACUAAAAGUAAAUUUUAAUAACUGUACCUCGUGCAUUAUGGUUUUACAAGAAACUAAUUAAAUAUUUAAAUCCCGAAUUCUAAAUGAGAUGUUAAACUGCUGUUAAGAACUUAUUAGUAGCUGUAGAAAAAGCUUUAAAAGACAGUUUAACAGAGGCUACAUACCAUUCGCAUAAGAAUAUAGCUGGUUUUCAACAAACAUUAUACAUUAAAACAUAUAAUUAAUAUUAUAGUGUAAUAUUAUUGAGGAUAAGCCCAAUAAUCUAAACAAUGCUAAGCCAAACUCUAUUUUACUUCAUAGGCUUAAUAUCAGCCAACUAUAGUACUUUAUCGUAACAAAAAUUGAUAUAAUACAUAACCUGGCAUGUAAAAAGAAGUUGAAAUACUGGGCAACCUACAAAACCCAUUACUACUAUGUAAAAAUAAGUAUUAAUAAAUUAUAUUAUAAAAUAACUAAAAAACUAAAAUAAACUAUACAAUAAUAACUAAUUAAGAAACUCGGCAAAUCACUAUUUCGACUGUUUAACAAAAACAUUGUCUCAUGAACAACAUAUGAGAUAAUACCUGCCCAG